Molecule: long non-coding RNA, 1429 nt
Filed under: Triticum aestivum (bread wheat)
Lineage: Eukaryota; Viridiplantae; Streptophyta; Magnoliopsida; Poales; Poaceae
Description: long non-coding RNA (TAES_LNC011489)
Source: RNAcentral
GAUGACAAGUAUUUUCGGACGGAGGGAGUACAUGUCAAUGCAUCUUUAUGGAAGCGGGAGGACGUGUAUGAUCACGUGGUUUGUAGCGCAUUUUCACCUGGAUAUACUGUUUGGGGUUGCCAUGGGGAAACAGCAUCAUUCAUCUCUACUAACAAACAAGGUGAAACUCCAACACACACAAGAAGUAACAAAAGGUCACGAUCACAGUUUGAAGGAACAAAAUCUAAUAUGCGUCAGUUAGUGGAAGAUGUUUUCUGUGGACCUCCAACGAUAGAACCUGAAACCCCAAAAUCUAAUAUGCGUCGGUUAGUGCAAGCCUCACCAAUUGUCUUGCAAUCAGAAACUUCCCUUACCAACUCCUCGUGGUCGUGGUCGAGCAACAUUUUCAUGAUUAUAUAUACACUGUAGUUUUACCUGAAGUCAAAGCUGAGUUUGCAUGACAUUAAGAACCAUUGUAUGUUCCUGCAGAUCGUUGGCUGAGCUUACACCCUUCAUAAAUUUUGAUGGAAUGAGGUCUUUCAAUCAACAUAUAAACCCAACUUUUGUUUUUCUUUAUUGCUUUUCAAUUUCUCGUUCUAUAUUUCCAUUGAUGCUGCCAUUGUGGAUUAUGAUAACUGUUAGUACCUCAUCCUUACUGUCCUGACACUUACUUGGUUGGGAAUAUUACGCAAAAUCUCAUCCACGGGUGAAAUAAUUCAUUGCUAAGAGAUGUGGCAAUAUAUUUAAUGCAUGCUUAUAUCAUCCGGGCAGUAUAUAAUAGAUGUGGCAGUAUAUUAUGCAAAAUUUCAUCCAAAGGUUAAAUAAUUUCGUCCAUGUUUCCUUUCCGAGAGAUGCACAUUUUGUUUUCCUGGUAUAUUUGAUGCACGAUGCAAUUUUUGCUGGCCCUCUAGUGUUUGUGUCUAGUUUGUCCAGUUAGGUGCAUCUGUGCUGGAUCAUACAUGUUAUCACUACGUGGCAAAUAUGAACCUAGCGCGAACUAAGAAAUCUCAUGUUCUACCAUAAAGCACCAAAUGUCCAUAUAUGUAUUGCAUUUAACUUGACUCUUUUCAUUUGUUAUGAACUUCUGCUCACGCGCUUAAGUGAAUCUUCUUUUUCAGGAAAUUUUGCAACUAGAGAUUAGAAGGAUUGUUCUAAAAUGAUGGAUGAAGUAAUGUGUUCUUUUAGCGGAGCUUUGUAUGUUUGCAUAGUUUUCACUCUUCAAAAUGAAGCUUGGAAAAUUUCAGAAAAUUUUAGCGGACUUAAGCUUCAUGUAUGAGAGAUUGUCAUUGGGAAUAGAUGCAUUUUUGUUGAAGAAGUAUUAUGUCAGAUUUACUAUCUUGUAAACUAUGUUUGAAAUUAAACCUGGAUGGCUGAUUCAACAUUUUCUUCUUUGUUGUUGUGAAACGACCUUUGCAUGUGUAAUUCAACAUGUCUUUUUGGUGAGUUUAUA